This is a long non-coding RNA of Heterocephalus glaber (naked mole-rat), 567 nucleotides long. RefSeq lists it as uncharacterized. The record is from RefSeq and is a predicted model, not a curated record. Lineage: Eukaryota; Metazoa; Chordata; Mammalia; Rodentia; Bathyergidae.
CUGGUGGAAACACCUUUCUAUUUUUGGGGAGUGGAUCUCCAUAAAGCAGCCAGGGUUGGCUGAUGCUCCUCUCUUACAUCUGUGCCUGUUCCCAAAGGUCCAUCCCUCCAUCCUUGCUCCAUCCCAAUACCACAGUCGAUCACCAAGAGAUCCAGAGGAUAGUGAGGCACCCAUGGGCCUUUGAGUCCCAUCUGGCUUCCAAUCCUGACUCAGGACAUCUACAAGCUGAACGUGGUCUCUUCAUUCUAAAAAUGAGCUACUCACAGCUACAUGUCUGGAGUCAAGGGUUUGUCUUCUCAGAUCAGUGUGACAUCUUGAGUGACAUAAUCUCAGCACCAUCAUUGAGCCACAGCCAAAACACAUUUCACUUGGCCCAGGAGGAGUACAGUCAUGAGUAUGAUGAGGAUCAGGCUUCCCUGGAGCAGGACCUAGAAAUCCAGGACCCUAGAAAUCCAGAUAGAAAGUGAACUGUCCUUGUCUGCCAUGAACUGCUGCCAUGGAUGUAAUGUACUGCAUAGGUUCAAACAACAAAGGCCAAAUGACUAUGGACUGAAACCUCUGAAGCUG